UCCAUCAAACCUGAAUCUGACUGUCUCUUCCAGGUAAGUCAUUAGGAAAGGAGUUCCUCCUUGCCAUCAACUAAUGCACCAUUCCUUCACAGGCCAAACUGGCUACAGAACAAGGACCCCAUGAGGGGAAUGGGACAGUUAACAGAACUCAGGAGAAUAGUACUCUGCCUUUAGACCCCUGAAGACAGCAGCAGAUGUGGAUCUGAACUGUACUUCGGGAAUCUUUCUAAAACUGCUUGCUUUCCUGCCUCCAGACGGGCGCUGCGAAGUGCUGGGUGCCGACAGCGCAGGGGAAACGCACAAGACCCUGCAGGACUGAGUCCUUUUUCCUGGGAGAUCUUUCAUUCCGCUCCAACCUGCUUGGAUUCUGUUGUGGGUGCUAUUACGGCAGUGAUUCCUCAACAGGAGGCCUGGAAACGAUUUCCUGCACACAGAGACUUCCAGGAGCUCUGUGAUCCUGCUAUGUUAUAGUGCUAGCACCUGACAUAAAUUAGAUCACAAGGUGACUUGGUCCUGCGAUCUGGAUUUUGGGGGAUGGGAAUAAAACAUCAGUUUCUAGAGAGUCUUCUAGAGAAUGCACCAGAGAAGGGCUUAAAGAAAAUAAAAUCCCCCAAACAGUGGCUGAAAGCUGAAGCCAGACAAAUUUAGGUUAGAAAUGAGACAUACAUGUUAAAUCUUUGUGUUUAUAACUGACCUUUGAAACAACAUAGAUGGUGAAAUACUUGGUUCUCCAUCUCUGAAUGUCUUGCAGAGAUGCAAGUAAAGUGCUCGCAGAUGGGACUGUUCUGUUUCUGGUGCCCAAGCUGGCUUGUCCAGGGUUAGUGUGGCUCUUGCUUCCCUGGAGUAAGAUCACAGAGCCAUAUAACAGUGGUGAGUGCUGAGGGAAGCAGAGGAAGGGAGAGGUCAUGUGAUUGAACUUCUGGAUCCCAACACAUGGCUGUAGUUUUCAUCUGGAGUCAUCACAGAAAGUGGGGUUCAGAAGUUAUCUUCCCUUUUCAAGAUCUGCAUGGAAAACACAAGGCGCCCCUGUAGCCUCUUGGAGGGGCUUGGCCAUGUGCACCUUUUAAACUCAGGCUGGAGUGAGAAAACGCUUUUUCUCCAUCCCCAUCCUAGGAGCUUACCUGGUAUACAAAAGGAGAGCAGCAUCCCCUGUUUUAUGGGCGAAGGCUUCCUGCUGUGUAAAUUCCUUAGGGGGCGUGGGCCUUUGACUGAGGGGCCGCAACAUCGUUUGACACAAGAGGGCUUAUAUUAGAGCUGGGUGUAUAUUUUUUUCCAUACAAAAGAUGAAAAGAAAUAAAAUACCUCCAAUUUA
Molecule: long non-coding RNA, 1312 nt
Organism: Dromaius novaehollandiae (emu)
Lineage: Eukaryota; Metazoa; Chordata; Aves; Casuariiformes; Dromaiidae
Exons: 3
Source: RefSeq, a predicted model, not a curated record